Otolemur garnettii (small-eared galago) is the source of this 324-nucleotide non-coding RNA. NCBI's taxonomy places the organism in Eukaryota, Metazoa, Chordata, Mammalia, Primates, Galagidae. The record is from Rfam.
GAUUGUGUGGGUGAUCUGACAGCAACAUCUGUCACCCACUGGACCCAGACAUGACACAGCUCAUUUGGCUGCCUAGUGUAGUGUUGCCUUCCUCCUUCACUGCUCUGCACAUGGCCCUCCUGAAGCUGUGCUAAAUUAUUGGAGAUUUUAAAAACAACUCUAAUGGCUUUGAUUGAAGAGCUGCAAACUAGGUAUGAAGAAAUUCAGCCAUAUUAGGUCCCUAGGCAAUUUUUUGGGCUAAAGAGAUAGAAGAUUAUUCUAGAAACUUGGAUAAUAAAUACCUUGAAAAAGGAACCACUUAUUGUUUACUCACGGAAGGUCUAU